Molecule: long non-coding RNA, 1325 nt
Organism: Mercenaria mercenaria
Lineage: Eukaryota; Metazoa; Mollusca; Bivalvia; Venerida; Veneridae
Exons: 2
Source: RefSeq, a predicted model, not a curated record
UACGUCAUCAACAGGUGCGCGCAACACUUCCCGAUGCGGCUUUUUUGUGUCAAAACAUCUCGAUUCGGUGAGUAAACUUGCGAUUAUUACAUUGAUAACUAAUAGAUUCGGAAAUGACAUAUAGUCGAAAGUACCCGCACAUGCGUCUAGUUUAUCAUUUACGUUUGCAUUUUUCAAGAAAGCCUUCCGUUUAAGAGAACAUUCGUGCACAAUGCACUUCAUGGAAACACUUCCCUAUUCACCACACCAUAUUAUAUCGCAUAUCAAGAGUUUACAUGCAUUUCUGAUAAAUCCAAGCAUUGACGGGUGUUCUUUUAUGGUAAACAGAUGUCAGUGAUACCUUGAUUACUCAUUGGAAUCUAAACUUUCCGAAAAAUCAGUAAACUAAAAUUUCGCCUUCCCGAUUCACCAACUGAAUUGAUGUCCUUCCCGGCUCACCAAUUUCCAGCAUGACUAACAUCGGGCUGGUGCUCAUGUAAAUGUGAUCACACUUGCCUGGAAGUUCUAUUAAUUCGAAUAACUAAUUGUUAGAGUGCUUGCACUAGAUGGUCUGUAAACUUCAUUUAAGCAUUUGAAGAUAAUAUUGAAAGAACGAGGCAUAUCUUGAACAUAUGUUGUAUACUAUAAACAUGCAUAUGUAUGAUAUAAUUAUGUUCUAUCAUGUCCUUAUAUUUGUUAUGUUAGAUACAUGAAAGAUGAAAAAGGAAACAAAACUUCUAGUCUGCAUUAAUGGAAUUGUCAAUAUAUGUUAAAAAGGAUUGCUGAAUGAUCGGCAUGCAAGACAUUAUUGACAUAUUAUAUUUUCCAAAAGCUGUACGACAUAAUAUUUGAGAAGUGGAGAACAUCCCCUAACGGAAUUACCCCAGACAAGGAUUUCAACGCUCAACUAGGUCUCCGUACCAAACUUUGUCACGACUAUGUCGGUUGCUGUUUGAAGGGCCACGUGAUCAUCACAAUUGCUCGGGAAAAAAUGAGAAAUUACUGUAUCGCGCCAACGAAAUGUUCUUAUCAAGGAGUUUUAGAUGUGCGCAGGGAAAGACCAAGAGUGACUACAACCGAAUUAUAAUUACCACGUAGUAGAACGGGACAUUGAAUCUACACUAGAAAGCGGUUGAGGAUUUAACAUUUUACUAAUGUUCAGAUUUUGCUUGCAAAUCUUAGUGCACCCAAUUACAUGUUAAAACUCGAAGUGAGCUUGAACAGUGGUAGAACAAUUUUACUUGCAAUGUAAAUUACUUUGCUUUUCUUAAACUGUUUAGUUGUUGAAAAUGUUGUUGUAUAAAAGAUUAUUUAAAAUAGGAAAUUUUACUGAUUUUUUAUUUAAA